This 253-nucleotide ribosomal RNA is filed under the name uncultured bacterium. RNAcentral's name for it is "partial 16S ribosomal RNA". It matches the Rfam family "Bacterial small subunit ribosomal RNA", at positions 524 to 776 of the family's 1533-position model. The record is from RNAcentral.
UACAGAGGUGGCAAGCGUUGUUCGGAAUUACUGGGCGUAAAGGGCGCGUAGGCGGCCUUCUAAGUCGGACGUGAAAUCUCCAGGCUUAACUUGGGAACUGCGUCCGAUACUGGAGGGCUUGAGUGCGGGAGAGGGAUGUGGAAUUCCAGGUGUAGCGGUGAAAUGCGUAGAUAUCUGGAGGAACACCGGUGGCGAAGGCGGCAUCCUGGACCGACACUGACGCUGAGGCGCGAAAGCCAGGGGAGCAAACGGG